UACAGAGGUCCCAAGCGUUGUUCGGAUUCACUGGGCGUAAAGCGUUUGUAGGCGGCCCUGUAAGUCGGGUGUGAAAUCCCACGGCUCAACCGUGGAAGUGCAUUCGAAACUGCAGGGCUUGAAUAUGGAAGAGGAGAGUAGAAUUCCAGGUGUAGUGGUGAAAUACGUAGAUAUCUGGAGGAAUACCGGUGGCGAAGGCGGCUCUCUGGUCCAAUAUUGACGCUGAGAAACGAAAGUGCGGGGAUCAAACAGG
This 253-nucleotide ribosomal RNA is filed under the name uncultured prokaryote. RNAcentral's name for it is "partial 16S ribosomal RNA". It matches the Rfam family "Bacterial small subunit ribosomal RNA", at positions 524 to 776 of the family's 1533-position model. The record is from RNAcentral.